GCGGCAACAGCUCAAAUUUGAAAUCUGGCCCCCAGGGUCCGAGUUGUAAUUUGUAGAGGAUGCUUUUGGCGCGGUGCCUUCUGAGUUCCCUGGAACGGGACGCCACAGAGGGUGAGAGCCCCGUAUAGUCGGACACCAAGCCUCUGUAAAGCUCCUUCGACGAGUCGAGUAGUUUGGGAAUGCUGCUCAAAAUGGGAGGUAAAUCUCUUCUAAAGCUAAAUACAGGCUAGAGACCGAUAGCGCACAAGUAGAGUGAUCGAAAGAUGAAAAGCACUUUGAAAAGAGGGUUAAAAAGCACGUGAAAUUGUUGAAAGGGAAGCGCUUGUGACCAGACUUGCGCCCGGUUGAUCAUCCAGCGUUCUCGCUGGUGCACUCUGCCGGGCUCAGGCCAGCAUCGGUUCUUGCGGGGGGAUAAAAGCUGUGGGAAUGUAGCUCCCUCGGGAGUGUUAUAGCCCGCUGCAGAAUACCCCCGCGGGGACCGAGGUACGCGUUCCGCAAGGAUGCUGGCGUAAUGGUCACCAGCGACCCGUCUUGAAACACGGACCAAGGAGUCAAGCAUUAGGGCGAGUGUUUGGGUGUCAAACCCGCACGCGAAAUGAAAGUGAACGUAGGUGAGAGCUUCGGCGCAUCAUCGACCGAUCCUGAUGUAUUCGGAUGGAUUUGAGUAAGAGCCUUACCGCUUGGACCCGAAAGAUGGUGAACUAUGCUUGAAUAGGGUGAAGCCAGAGGAAACUCUGGUGGAGGCUCGCAGCGGUUCUGACGUGCAAAUCGAUCGUCAAA
RNAcentral lists this ribosomal RNA (780 nucleotides) under Wongia fusiformis. RNAcentral describes it as "partial large subunit ribosomal RNA". It matches the Rfam family "Eukaryotic large subunit ribosomal RNA", at positions 98 to 909 of the family's 3401-position model. Lineage: Eukaryota; Fungi; Ascomycota; Sordariomycetes; Papulosaceae. The record is from RNAcentral.